This 228-nucleotide ribosomal RNA is filed under the name uncultured bacterium. RNAcentral's name for it is "partial 16S ribosomal RNA". It matches the Rfam family "Bacterial small subunit ribosomal RNA", at positions 568 to 795 of the family's 1533-position model. The record is from RNAcentral.
UGCGCAGGCGGGCUAUUAAGUCAGUGGUGAAAUCUCUCGGCUCAACCGAGAAACUGCCAUUGAAACUGAUAGUCUUGAGUAUGGUUGUGGUAGGCGGAAUAUAGCAUGUAGCGGUGAAAUGCCUAGAUAUGCUAUAGAACACCGAUCGCGAAGGCAGCUUACCAAGCCAUUACUGACGCUCAUGCACGAAAGCGUGGGGAGCAAACAGGAUUAGAUACCCUGGUAGUC